RNAcentral lists this ribosomal RNA (406 nucleotides) under uncultured bacterium. Its description in RNAcentral is "partial 16S ribosomal RNA". It matches the Rfam family "Bacterial small subunit ribosomal RNA", at positions 29 to 526 of the family's 1533-position model. The record is from RNAcentral.
AUUGAACGCUGGCGGCAGGCCUAACACCUGCAAGUCGAACGAGUGGCGGACGGGUGAGUAAUGUCUGGGAAACUGCCCGAUGGCGGGGGAUAACUACUGGAAACGGUAGCUAAUACCGCCUACCAUCGGAUGUGCCCAGAGGGGAUUAGCUAGUCGGGGGGGUAACGGCUCACCUAGGCGACGAUCCCUAGCUGGUCUGAGAGGAGGACCAGCCAAACGGGAACUGAGACACGGUCAAGACUCAUACGGGAGGCAGCAGUGGGGAAUAUUGCACAAUGGGCGCAAGCCGGAUGCAGCCCUGCCGCGUGUAUGAAGAAGGCCUUCGGGUUGUAAAGUACUUUCAGCGAGGAGGCGUUACUCGCAGAAGAAGCACCGGCUAACUCCGUGCCAGCAGCCGCGGUAAUAC